This 254-nucleotide ribosomal RNA is filed under the name uncultured bacterium. RNAcentral describes it as "partial 16S ribosomal RNA". It matches the Rfam family "Bacterial small subunit ribosomal RNA", at positions 524 to 776 of the family's 1533-position model. The record is from RNAcentral.
UACGGGGGGAGCAAGCGUUGUUCGGAUUUACUGGGCGUAAAGGGCGCGUAGGCGGCCAGCACAAGUCAGCUGUGAAAUCUCCGAGCUUAACUCGGAAAGGUCAACUGAUACUGUGCGGCUAGAGUGCGGAAGGGGCAACUGGAAUUCUUGGUGUAGCGGUGAAAUGCGUAGAUAUCAAGAGGAACACCUGCAGCGAAGGCGGGUUGCUGGGCCGACACUGACGCUGAGGCGCGAAAGCCAGGGGAGCGAACGGG